Molecule: long non-coding RNA, 586 nt
Organism: Mustela erminea (ermine)
Lineage: Eukaryota; Metazoa; Chordata; Mammalia; Carnivora; Mustelidae
Exons: 3
Source: RefSeq, a predicted model, not a curated record
UUUGAGCAACACAGUGGUAGAUCUGAGUAAAUUAAGGUUCAGAGUUUAUCCUCCAGCAAGAGAACAGGAAACAACAUUGAGAAAGAAUGACAACCCCACACCACUCUAGCCACUAGCAUAGCAGAGGAGAAUCACCAAGGCUGAGGACAGGAAGUGCACAGCGUAUCCAUAUUCUCUGUCCAACCUGGUUGAAGUAAGUCAUCAACUUACUGAGUCAAGGUAAAAUAUUUUUCAAGAGUCAAGGCUGAAACUACGCUUAUGUGGGGGAGAUGACUGCAAUUUUUGCCCUAUAUUAGGAUCCCUGCUUAGGACAAUGGCAUUAAAAUCAGAACCAGCGCAAGCAAACUAUAAUUAGAGGUGGAGCCACAUAUGAUCUAUGUGUCUCCACAGUGGUCUCGGGAAGAACAGAGACCAUGAUGGGUCAAAUCAUGUUUGUGAGAAAAGACAAAAGGAAGAAGAGCAACGAUAUGAGGAUGCCUUGGGAUCCAACUAUUGGGAUAUCAUCAAAGUAGAAAAUCUUCUGCACAGUGAAGGAAAAAAAAUCAACAGAACUAAAAGGCCACCUAUGGAAUGAAGGAAGGUAUUU